AUGCCGAGGAAAGAGCGGCGGUCAGGUGUGGCAUACAUCCAUAAUGACAAAGAUCGUGAUCUCACCUUCUACAAGCGACGUUCUGGUUUGUUCAAGAGGGCGACCGACAUCUCUGCCCUCACUAGGGCUAGGGUUGCAGUCGUCCUAGAGACAAACAAUGGAAAGAUGCACUCAUUUGGGACGCCAUUGGCCGAUCCCAUUGUUGAUGCUUUCCUAUUUGGAGCUCCACCAGCAGUUCCCUCCGCCAAUGAGGCAACCACUGCCAGGAUUGGAAGCCUACAAAACGAGGUGGCUCAGUUGGACAUGGAGAACAAGACCGAGGAAGACCAAAACCAACUUUCCAUACUUCGUAUGAAAAGUAUCCAAGAAGAGAAUCCAAGUAUGGUGGCAAAUCUUUUAUUCACGAAGGAACAAGAUCUCGGUCUGGAAGAUCUAAAUAAGCUCUUCAAUGAGCUCUCUCGGGUCCAAAAAGACAUUAGAUGCCGGCUACCUCCAUUGCAUGGUGGUGAAGCCAAGACCAGUGUCACAUGUGUGGCACAAGAUCUGCAACUACCAAGUGUUCUGUCGACGGAUCAUUUGGGUACUACUCAUUCACUAAUGCAGUCAUCAUGGCCUCACAAUCUCUCACAACUCCAGCUACCUGGAGAUCCACUACCAUCACAACCAGAACAAACUUCGGCACCAAUGUUUCCUAUGCAGGUACCACAAAUGUUUGAUUUUGCACCACCAUCUUUAGCCCCACACUUGGCUUCCCAUGUCCAACCCAUACCAAAUCAGUCACAUGAGCAAACUCAACCAGAGGAGUUGCAUGUUCAGAACUAUGAAAGUCCUUGCAACAUAGUGCAACCACAACAAAGUGAUGCAAACCACGACUCAACAUCUGGGCAGAAUUUGGAGGCCUCUCCACUAUUGGGGUACUCGAGUGGCAAUGCCUUUUCUAUUGAUGACCCAUUUAACACUGAACAAUGGGGUUAUGCUCUAUCAGAUCAGUCGUUCUACAAUAGUUUCCUAGGGAUAGAUGAUUACUUAGGCUCUAGCGGUACCGAUCUAGGACAGUCUUCCAUGGUAAAUGGUGGAUGGGUUGAUGUGCCACCCUCUUCCACUGGACAAGAUAUUGAUGGUCUUAUAGACUAUGGAGAGAUUUUGUAG
RNAcentral lists this ribosomal RNA (1149 nucleotides) under Triticum aestivum (bread wheat). Its description in RNAcentral is "partial small subunit ribosomal RNA". Lineage: Eukaryota; Viridiplantae; Streptophyta; Magnoliopsida; Poales; Poaceae. The record is from RNAcentral.